UUUGAAAGCGCUUUGGGAAAGUCAUUACGGCAAGCAAUUGACAUACCUGCACCGUCACCAGCUCAGACUCUUUUCCAGACUGCCCAUUAGUUGCGUCCAGAAGCGGAAAAUUAUGGUCCAUUGUCAUGGCAAAGGGGAUCAAUGCUACAAUCUCCUGAGGGGUCAACACAACCUCUGUGGCAUCCUGAAACACCCAGAAGAAGCUAUUCAAUGGAUGAUCCAAUCCAAAAAUCACUUCUUCAUGAUGUGUUAACCAAGCUUGAAGUUGUUAUGGAGCAGCAGAGAAACAUUGUAAGGAUGAUUCAAGGCCUGAAAUCCAACAAUGUAAGAGAUCACAGAGGAAAACGACCUAAGUCCCACUCUUUUUCCAGUGGAAGAUUUAUGGUCCCUAACUGCCCUUGAAAGUAAUCUUCAUCCAGUCCUGAAACAAGACGGGAAGUGGUAAUUGAACUUGGAUUGCUUGGUGGGGUGGACGUUAAGGACACAAUUUGGCAUGUAAUGAAACAGACAAUAAAAAAUGACUUUGCAAAAACGACGAACUGGAAAGGCGCAAAUGGAAAAACAACAUUCCAAGGACUUGAACUGAAGAACGUUGUGAUUGGUAAGUGGUUUUAUAUGUUGUCUUGCAGCUUUUGUUUUCAUGACUUUCACGUGGAGGAAUGUUAAGAAU
Molecule: non-coding RNA, 670 nt
Organism: Misgurnus anguillicaudatus (oriental weatherfish)
Lineage: Eukaryota; Metazoa; Chordata; Actinopteri; Cypriniformes; Cobitidae
Source: RefSeq, a predicted model, not a curated record